GGGUCAACUCCAACCCUUUGUGACCUUACCUAUCGUUGCUUCGGCGGGAUCGCCCCGGCGCCUUCGGGCCCGGAACCAGGCGCCCGCCGGAGGCCCCAAACUCUUAUGUCUUUAGUGGUUUUCUCCUCUGAGUGACACAUAAACAAAUAAAUAAAAACUUUCAACAACGGAUCUCUUGGUUCUGGCAUCGAUGAAGAACGCAGCGAAAUGCGAUAAGUAAUGUGAAUUGCAGAAUUCAGUGAAUCAUCGAAUCUUUGAACGCACAUUGCGCCCGCCAGUAUUCUGGCGGGCAUGCCUGUUCGAGCGUCAUUUCAACCCUCAGGCCCCCAGUGCCUGGCGUUGGGGAUCGGCGUGGGCGGCGACGGCUCUCCGGAGCCCGAGCCAAUGCCUGCCGGCCCCGAAAUUCAGUGGCGGUCUCGCUGUAGUCCCCCUCUGCGUAGUAGCACAACUCGCAUUGGAGCUCGGCGGUGGCCAUGCCGUAAAACACCCCACUUCUGAAAGUUGACCUCGGAUCAGGUAGGAAUACCCGCUGAACUUAAGCAUAUCAAUAAGCGGAGGA
RNAcentral lists this ribosomal RNA (559 nucleotides) under fungal sp. CNEF10. Its description in RNAcentral is "eukaryotic LSU rRNA". The stretch from base 156 to 309 matches the Rfam family "5.8S ribosomal RNA". The record is from RNAcentral. Lineage: Eukaryota; Fungi.